RNAcentral lists this ribosomal RNA (301 nucleotides) under uncultured bacterium. RNAcentral's name for it is "partial 16S ribosomal RNA". It matches the Rfam family "Bacterial small subunit ribosomal RNA", at positions 509 to 807 of the family's 1533-position model. The record is from RNAcentral.
CAGCAGCCGCGGGAAUACGGAGGGUGCAAGCGUUAAUCGGAAUUACUGGGCGUAAAGCGCACGCAGGCGGUCUGUCAAGUCAGAUGUGAAAUCCCCGGGCUUAACCUGGGAACUGCAUUUGAAACUGGCAGGCUAGAGUCUUGUAGAGGGGGGUAGAAUUUCAGGUGUAGCGGUGAAAUGCGUAGAGAUCUGGAGGAAUACCGGUGGCGAAGGCGGCCCCCUGGACAAAGACUGACGCUCAGGUGCGAAAGCGUGGGGAGCAAACAGGAUUAGAUACCCGUGUAGUCCCUGUCUCUUAUAC